CCUACGGGUGGCAGCAGUGGGGAAUAUUGCACAAUGGCGCAAGCCUGAUGCAGCCAUGCCGCGUGUAUGAAGAAGGCCUUCGGGUUGUAAAGUACUUUCAGCGGGGAGGAAGGCGAUAAGGUUAAUAACCUUGUCGAUUGACGUUACCCGCAGAAGAAGCACCGGCUAACUCCGUGCCAGCAGCCGCGGUAAUACGGAGGGUGCAAGCGUUAAUCGGAAUUACUGGGCGUAAAGCACACGCAGGCGGUCUGUCAAGUCGGAUGUGAAAUCCCCGGGCUCAACCUGGGAACUGCAUUCGAAACUGGCAGGCUGGAGUCUUGUAGAGGGGGGUAGAAUUCCAGGUGUAGCGGUGAAAUGCGUAGAGAUCUGGAAGAAUACCGGUGGCGAAGGCGGCCCCCUGGACAAAGACUGACGCUCAGGUGCGAAAGCGUGGGGAGCAAUCAGGAUUAGAUACCCCGGUAGUC
Molecule: ribosomal RNA, 464 nt
Filed under: uncultured bacterium
Lineage: Bacteria
Description: bacterial SSU rRNA
Rfam family: Bacterial small subunit ribosomal RNA
Source: RNAcentral